Molecule: ribosomal RNA, 329 nt
Filed under: uncultured eukaryote
Lineage: Eukaryota
Description: partial 18S ribosomal RNA
Rfam family: Eukaryotic small subunit ribosomal RNA
Source: RNAcentral
CCCUUAGAUGUUCUGGGCCGCACGCGCACUACACUGAUGCAUUCAACGAGUCUAAAACCUGCUCUGAUAGGGGUGGGUAAUCUUUUGAAUGUGCAUCGUGAUUGGGAUAGAUGAUUGCAAUUUUUCAUCUUCAACGAGGAAUGCCUAGUAAACGCAAGUCAUCAGCUUGCAUUGAUUACGUCCCUGCCCUUUGUACACACCGCCCGUCGCUCCUACCGAUUGAAUGAUCCGAUGAAUAUCAUGGAUUGAGGAUGCAAGUAGGUUCGCCUAUCUUCAUCUUCGAGAAGUGAAGUAAAUCUUAUCAUUUAGAGGAAGGAGAAGUCGUAACA